RNAcentral lists this ribosomal RNA (429 nucleotides) under Acidobacteriota bacterium. RNAcentral describes it as "Acidobacteria bacterium partial 16S ribosomal RNA". It matches the Rfam family "Bacterial small subunit ribosomal RNA", at positions 355 to 776 of the family's 1533-position model. Lineage: Bacteria; Pseudomonadati; Acidobacteriota. The record is from RNAcentral.
UGGGGAAUUUUGGACAAUGGGGGAAACCCUGAUCCAGCCAUCCCGCGUGUGCGAUGAAGGCCUUCGGGUUGUAAAGCACUUUUGGCAGGAAAGAAACGUCAUGGGUUAAUACCCCGUGAAACUGACGGUACCUGCAGAAUAAGCACCGGCUAACUACGUGCCAGCAGCCGCGGUAAUACGUAGGGUGCAAGCGUCAAUCGGAAUUACUGGGCGUAAAGCGUGCGCAGGCGGUUCGGAAAGAAAGAUGUGAAAUCCCAGAGCUCAACUUUGGAACUGCAUUUUUAACUACCGGGCUAGAGUGUGUCAGAGGGAGGUGGAAUUCCGCGUGUAGCAGUGAAAUGCGUAGAUAUGCGGAGGAACACCGAUGGCGAAGGCAGCCUCCUGGGAUAACACUGACGCUCAUGCACGAAAGCGUGGGGAGCAAACAGG